CUAUACUGCAAGUCGAACGCACAGCGAAAGGUGCUUGCACCUUUCAAGUGAGUGGCGAACGGGUGAGUAACACGUGGACAACCUGCCUCAAGGCUGGGGAUAACAUUUGGAAACAGAUGCUAAUACCGAAUAAAACUUAGUGUCGCAUGACACAAAGUUAAAAGGCGCUUCGGCGUCACCUAGAGAUGGAUCCGCGGUGCAUUAGUUAGUUGGUGGGGUAAAGGCCUACCAAGACAAUGAUGCAUAGCCGAGUUGAGAGACUGAUCGGCCACAUUGGGACUGAGACACGGCCCAAACUCCUACGGGAGGCUGCAGUAGGGAAUCUUCCACAAUGGGCGAAAGCCUGAUGGAGCAACGCCGCGUGUGUGAUGAAGGCUUUCGGGUCGUAAAGCACUGUUGUAUGGGAAGAACAGCUAGAAUAGGAAAUGAUUUUAGUUUGACGGUACCAUACCAGAAAGGGACGGCUAAAUACGUGCCAGCAGCCGCGGUAAUACGUAUGUCCCGAGCGUUAUCCGGAUUUAUUGGGCGUAAAGCGAGCGCAGACGGUUUAUUAAGUCUGAUGUGAAAGCCCGGAGCUCAACUCCGGAAUGGCAUUGGAAACUGGUUAACUUGAGUGCAGUAGAGGUAAGUGGAACUCCAUGUGUAGCGGUGGAAUGCGUAGAUAUAUGGAAGAACACCAGUGGCGAAGGCGGCUUACUGGACUGCAACUGACGUUGAGGCUCGAAAGUGUGGGUAGCAAACAGGAUUAGAUACCCUGGUAGUCCACACCGUAAACGAUGAACACUAGG
This 788-nucleotide ribosomal RNA is filed under the name Leuconostoc mesenteroides. RNAcentral describes it as "bacterial SSU rRNA". It matches the Rfam family "Bacterial small subunit ribosomal RNA", at positions 49 to 820 of the family's 1533-position model. Lineage: Bacteria; Bacillati; Bacillota; Bacilli; Lactobacillales; Lactobacillaceae. The record is from RNAcentral.